AUUGAACGCUGGCGGCAUGCCUUACACAUGCAAGUCGAACGGCAGCACGGGAGCUUGCUCCUGGUGGCGAGUGGCGAACGGGUGAGUAAUACAUCGGAACGUACCCUGAAGUGGGGGAUAACGUAGCGAAAGUUACGCUAAUACCGCAUAUUCUGUGAGCAGGAAAGAGGGGGAUCGCAAGACCUCUUGCUUUAGGAGCGGCCGAUGUCGGAUUAGCUAGUUGGUGAGGUAAAGGCUCACCAAGGCGACGAUCCGUAGCGGGUCUGAGAGGAUGAUCCGCACACUGGGACUGAGACACGGCCCAGACUCCUACGGGAGGCAGCAGUGGGGAAUUUUGGACAAUGGGCGCAAGCCUGAUCCAGCCAUGCCGCGUGAGUGAAGAAGGCCUUCGGGUUGU
RNAcentral lists this ribosomal RNA (397 nucleotides) under uncultured bacterium. Its description in RNAcentral is "bacterial SSU rRNA". It matches the Rfam family "Bacterial small subunit ribosomal RNA", at positions 30 to 426 of the family's 1533-position model. The record is from RNAcentral.